AGUCACACAAAUCAGGAACCUUAAGUCCAGAAACGUUUUGUGCUGCCUAUAAAGUAUAGACCUAGUGUUUCGGCAACUGUGGAGCUGUCAUCAGCAAGAGAGGAAGGCCUAGAAGGAAAAAGAAUGAAUAUUCAUACAACAAAUGCCGCCCAGAGAAGCUGGGAAAAUAACUGAUAAACCAAUAUAUUUGGCUGAGGUAUUACACAUGAUUGAAAGAAAAAGACAUUAAAAUAUGGAUGGGUGGAAGGCAUUUCAGGAGGAACUAGUCACCAGAUGAAAUGGAACUAUACCAGAUUAUGAGAAAAUGAAGAUCAGCGGUACAGAAUCCUUGCCCUUCAAGAGAACACAGUAUACAUGGGGAGACAUUUAGCAAAACACUUUUCACCACUGUGUGCUUCCCAUUCUGUGGCCCUAGGAUUCAUGGCUCAGAAUGGACUCCCAUUGUCACAUCCAUGUUCCAAGCACUAGAUGGAGGGCCAAGAAGAG
Molecule: long non-coding RNA, 486 nt
Organism: Symphalangus syndactylus (siamang)
Lineage: Eukaryota; Metazoa; Chordata; Mammalia; Primates; Hylobatidae
Source: RefSeq, a predicted model, not a curated record